CCGCGCAGGUCACUGGUGAGUUGUCGCCGCAUCGCGCCGGUCAGUGCGCGCCAGCACACACACCCUAAUGGAAAGUAGGAGCCUGAGCGUCGUGACUUCCUCCCUGUUACUUCACUGACGGAGAAUGGAAGAAACCACCUGACCGGUCAGGCUCAAACAGCAGCAGCUGAAACAUCCCCGCGAGGAAGAGGGGGGCAAUGCAGAGUAACAGGGAGUCAGAGAGUGACAAAAACGGUUGACGCCCAUUUGGACACAAUGCGGCACAGAUGACUUCACUCACUCUUGAUAGUGGAGUUAUAAAUCAUCAGCCAAUCAGUGGUGUGACCACUGACACUGCCCAGCUGUAUGGAGCGUGCCGUACAGAGGCAGCACACGUCCACCAGACCUUCAUUAACCUUCGCACGUCCUCCUCCAUCCUGCUCUCUUAUUAGGAUGAGCAGAUAAGUAGAAGCUUUUAGAUGAAGUAAGAGCUAAAGUUGAAGUACUUUAACAAGCUCUUUCUCUCUCUCUCUCUCUCUCUCUCUCUCUCUCUCUCUCUCUCGCGCGCUCUCUCUCCUCUUCGGUUAUUUCCUUCGGCCAGUUCUAGUAAGCACGUUGGUUUUUGUGUGUUUGUGUGUCUCAGUCAAGCAGUUCAAAGAGUUCAUAAGCCUAUUUGGUCAGCGAUGAAGAAAAAUGAAAGGAAAUAGCUGGAGAGAGAAAGGAGAAUAUAUUGUACUUUAACCCAACAAAAGGCUAAUCCUGUCAACAUUGAUCAUAUUUCAAUAUGUUGGUACUGGCCCUGAAGGACCACAUGUUCAGGAAGUCACACAGCAGAAACAUGCAGAUCUGGGAGUUAGAGAAGAAGCAGACCAGCACAGUGUGGAUUUAGGUCAGUCUUCAUGAGUGAAAAUCUGCAACCGCUUACUUCAAUUGCUAUAGUUCUAUAUUUGGCUCCAUGAAUCCAUGUUUCUCUAAUUUUAAAGUGUUUGUAUUGUGUCUAUGCAUUUGUUGACGUAUUGUGUAACGUUAUGUCUUGGUGGAAAACCAGUUUCCCAUUUGGGGAUUAAUAAAGUUCAUCCUAUCCUUUUCUA
Perca flavescens (yellow perch) is the source of this 1070-nucleotide long non-coding RNA. RefSeq lists it as uncharacterized. The transcript has 2 exons. Lineage: Eukaryota; Metazoa; Chordata; Actinopteri; Perciformes; Percidae. The record is from RefSeq and is a predicted model, not a curated record.